AGAGUUUGAUCAUGGCUCAGGAUGAACGCUGGCGGCAUGACCUAAAACAUGCAAGUCGAGCGGUAAGGCCCCUUCGGGGGUACACGAGCGGCGGACGGGUGAGUAACGCGUGGGAAUCUACCCAAACUGAGGGAUAAGCAUUGGAAACGAUGUCUAAUACCGCAUAUGGUCUUCGGAUUAAAGCUUCGGCGGUUUGGGAAGAGCCCGCGUAAGAUUAGCUAGUUGGUGAGGUAAAGGCUCACCAAGGCGACGAUCUUUAACUGGUUUGAGAGGAUGAUCAGUCACACUGGAACUGAGACACGGUCCAGACUCCUACGGGAGGCAGCAGUUAGGAAUUUUCCACAAUGGGCGAAAGCCUGAUGGAGCAAUGCCGCGUGCAGGAUGAAGGCCUUAGGGUUGUAAACUGCUUUAUACGUGAAGAAUAUGACGGUAACGUAUGAAUAAGGAUCGGCUAACUCCGUG
This 462-nucleotide ribosomal RNA is filed under the name uncultured bacterium. RNAcentral describes it as "bacterial SSU rRNA". It matches the Rfam family "Bacterial small subunit ribosomal RNA", at positions 8 to 507 of the family's 1533-position model. The record is from RNAcentral.